AAUAGCAGUUGCUAGUUGUGUUAUCAGUCAGUAGCUGUCUGCAGAGGAAUGGACUAGCUUGUUUUCUUUGUGCUCAAUAAGCUAUCCUGGAAUUGGAAUUGUCUUUGUGUACUUCCAAUAGGUUAUGGGCCCAGGAACGGUUCAUCUGUGAGUGUGCCCUACAGGAGGAUCGGCCGCAUAAGCCGUGUAACGCCGCACGGGAUCCGUAGGAGGAGCUGCUGAUUGGUCAGAGCAUGUACAAGCAUCGGAGUCGGGCCAUUUGUACAGGGCUCGAGUUGAGGAGGAGCUUCGUGAUCCGUUAGGAGGUAGAACCUGAACUUCGUGCUGGAUAAGUAGAAGGAGCUUCGUGAUCUUCGGAAGGUAGAACCUGGACGACCUUUGUGAUGGACGAGAUGGUAGAACCUGGAAGAGCUUUGUGGACCUGGACGAGGAGUUCGGCGACAGGAGGAGCAAUCCGGAUGACGACACUAAGGAGGAAUGUUGAGAUUGUAGUGUCGCACCCGUAGGCAGAAUAUACGGGAAUCGUCGGUGGUAGUAUUUAGAGGUAUGUUAUGCUGUGCUUAGUGGAAAUGAAUUGUAGAUACCUGGAUGAAAUAAAAGGAACAGCAGUUGCUAGUUGAGUUAUCAGUCAGUAGCUGUCUGCAGA
Long non-coding RNA from Aedes aegypti (yellow fever mosquito), 646 nucleotides. RefSeq lists it as uncharacterized. The record is from RefSeq and is a predicted model, not a curated record. Lineage: Eukaryota; Metazoa; Arthropoda; Insecta; Diptera; Culicidae. The transcript has 2 exons.